CGCUGAGAAGCUAAAACCGGGGACUAGCGUUAGCCUUUUAAGCUAAAGACUGGUGGCUCCCACCCACCCUUAGCGA
Molecule: transfer RNA, 76 nt
Filed under: Coccorella atlantica (Atlantic sabertooth)
Lineage: Eukaryota; Metazoa; Chordata; Actinopteri; Aulopiformes; Evermannellidae
Description: tRNA-Lys
Rfam family: tRNA
About the family: Transfer RNA (tRNA) molecules are approximately 80 nucleotides in length. Their secondary structure includes four short double-helical elements and three loops (D, anti-codon, and T loops).
Source: RNAcentral